UACGGAGGGGGCUAGCGUUGUUCGGAAUUAUUGGGCGUAAAGCGCGCGCAGGCGGUCCUUUAAGUCUGAUGUGAAAGCCCACGGCUCAACCGUGGAGGGUCAUUGGAAACUGGGGGACUUGAGUGCAGAAGAGGAAAGUGGAAUUCCACGUGUAGCGGUGAAAUGCGUAGAGAUGUGGAGGAACACCAGUGGCGAAGGCGACUUUCUGGUCUGUAACUGACGCUGAGGCGCGAAAGCGUGGGGAGCAAACAGG
This 253-nucleotide ribosomal RNA is filed under the name uncultured bacterium. RNAcentral's name for it is "partial 16S ribosomal RNA". It matches the Rfam family "Bacterial small subunit ribosomal RNA", at positions 524 to 776 of the family's 1533-position model. The record is from RNAcentral.